Molecule: transfer RNA, 71 nt
Filed under: Ooencyrtus plautus
Lineage: Eukaryota; Metazoa; Arthropoda; Insecta; Hymenoptera; Encyrtidae
Description: tRNA-Thr
Source: RNAcentral
UAAAACUUAAUUUAAUAAAAAUAUUAAUUUUGUAAAUUAAUUUUGUAAAUUUUAAAUUUAUAGUUUUAAAA